Molecule: long non-coding RNA, 1785 nt
Organism: Glossina fuscipes
Lineage: Eukaryota; Metazoa; Arthropoda; Insecta; Diptera; Glossinidae
Exons: 2
Source: RefSeq, a predicted model, not a curated record
UGGGCAUCAAAUAAGUGUUGUAUUUUUUUCAAUUUUUAAUGACCACUAAACGCUCAAUGAUAUAAAUGUGAAUUUUUUCUUUAUUUCAGAUAUUCGUUUUGGCAAUUCUUACUUCUUUGAAAACAAGUGAAAACAUUAUAAACAUAGGCGGGCCAACACCCACGUCCUUGGGUCAAAACAUGUCGGCUUAUCAAGUUUUAUCAAAACCUCUGCGUAUAGGUUGGACACAAGAGAACUGGACGGACAGACAAGUUUCUGAUAAUUAGAUAGAAUUACUUCCUGGAUCGAUCGGCAUAAUAAAAGGUGGGUCUACCCCCAGUCCUCCCGUACCUUACAUACACCGUCAUAAACUUAUCAUAUACUUUGUAUCAUAAGUGAUGUAGGAUACAAUGAUUUCAUAUAAGUGAUUGUAAAAUGUUAAUGAUCCUGGAACACAAUGCCAAAGUAAAAUGUGGAAUAUGCUUCUAUCGGAUGACCUUUUUCGCAGGCUCACUUAGGCAUAUUUGAAGAUUUUGCGAUCAUUGUACUUUUUUCCCAAUAAAUUGAUUUUAUCACGAAAUGUAUAGCACGUUGCAACAUUGAACGUUGAAGUCACAGAUUGUGUGAAAUUUUCUGCCCACAAACCACACACAAAAGUUAUUUUUGUACACAUAAAAGUCCCUUACAAACAUCAGAUGUGUUUUCUUUGUACUAAACGGUGUAACAAUAGUUAUUAACGAAGUCAUUUAACCAAAUAUGACCUUCAUGCCACAUGCACGAAACGUAACUGCGGGUUCGUUGUUUUCGUAACAAGUUCUAAUAAGGUCCAAACAAUAUAUUGAAAACAAGCAAAAACGCCAUAGUGCGGCAUUAAAUACCCUACCGUAAAAUACUUAAUACCCAUGUUCAUAUAACGAUCUUUCACAAAAAGGUCCUAUAUGGCCAGAUCCCAACCAUUCGUAAUGAUGUUGAUGCCCUUGGUAUCAAAUUUCUCCAAAAUAUGUCAAAAAUUUCGAGCUGUACACAAGAACACAAGAAAAACAGAUGGACAGACGAGCUUAGAUCGAUUCAGAAUGUGAACUGGGUCUAUUAUCGUGAUAUAAUGAAGGUUGGGUCGAUCCCAAGUCCUUUUGGAUGUUGCAUGCACCCGCAUAAACCGUACCACAUGUGGUGUAGGUUACAAGAAAUGAACGGGUCUUUCACUAUAAAAAUUGCGAAAUUUAAAGUGUUUUAAAAGCAGCUUUAGCUUCGUUAUUACGUAUAAAGCCAACCAAUUAGUAAUUAAUGUAAAAAUAAAUUAGGCUGAACGCAAAAAGAAAACAAGACGGACGGACGGACAAGCGUAGUAUAGCAAAUGAUUGGUUUAGCCCAAGUUCUUUUGGAUGUUGCACAAACUUAAUCUAUCCCAGUAACACAAACCCCUGGAGCACUUUAGUAGGGUAUAAAAAAUUGAUCCGAUCCCCCAAUCAUAAAUGAGUUUUGUUUACAUUUACUUUCGAAAUCAUAAAAUGGAUGAACCUACACAUACUGGUUUCGGUUUCAGUAAAAUGAGUAGAAGAAUCGAAUUAACGAUCAUUUAAAUGUAUUUCAGUGCAUUUGGGAUUUGUGUGCUUGUAAAGCAUAGCGGCAACAUACGCGCGCGCGACGUUGAGAGACGUUUUCUAAAGCUUGCUUGUUGCAUAUAUACAAUACAAUACGUAAUACAUACCUGAGGUGAUGAAAAAGCUGCAUAUACCAGACACGUAAUUAAAAUGAAUAAAUGCAUUUUCAUGUUCAUUUUCAGUAUGUGUUGGAGGGAAUAAAAAA